Molecule: ribosomal RNA, 433 nt
Filed under: uncultured bacterium
Lineage: Bacteria
Description: partial 16S ribosomal RNA
Rfam family: Bacterial small subunit ribosomal RNA
Source: RNAcentral
AACGAACGCUGGCGGCAUGCCUAACACAUGCAAGUCGAACGAGACCUUCGGGCCUAGUGGCGCACGGGUGCGUAACGCGUGGGAACCUGCCCUUAGGUUCGGAAUAACUCCCCGAAAGGGGUGCUAAUACCGGAUAAUGUCUUCGGACCAAAGAUUUAUCGCCUUUGGAUGGGCCCGCGUUGGAUUAGCUAGUUGGUAGGGUAAAAGCCUACCAAGGCGACGAUCCAUAGCUGGUCUGAGAGGAUGAUCAGCCACACUGGGACUGAGACACGGCCCAGACUCCUACGGGAGGCAGCAGUGAGGAAUAUUGGACAAUGGGCGAAAGCCUGAUCCAGCAAUGCCGCGUGAGUGAUGAAGGCCUUAGGGUUGUAAAGCUCUUUUACCCGGGAUGAUAAUGACAGUACCGGGAGAAUAAGCUCCGGCUAACUCCGUG